UUUGGUCUUUUUCAAGUCUCUUACCAGUUUCUCACGAGGAAGUCUUUCACAAGCAAGUCUCUCGCAAAUCUGUCGCAAGUUUUCCACUUUAGUCUCUUGCAAACCUCUCACUUACCUCCACCCAAAAAAUAAAUAAAUAAAUAGAGAAUUCCUUUAAUUUGUUUGCUUGUUUUUGUCUUCAAAAAAUUGAGAAGAAAUAAAAAAAUAACGAAAUUAUUAAAAAUACACAUAAUAGAAUAUAUUUUUGUAAUAUUUAUUUGGUUUUCUUUUUUUCUCAUCCUUAUACUCUUAGGUAGUGUUUAUUAAUCAAAAUAUAAGUUAAAAAAUGCAAGAUAUGAAAAGUAUUUUAAAUAAAAAUAUUUUUUAUUAUAUUUAUUAAAAUUAUCUAACAACUUACUAAAAAGAAGUCACACCAUUUCUUAUAUAAGAUCUUACAAAUAAAUUUAUAUUUUUCUCUCUAAAUUACAGAUAAAGAAAGAUAACCUAUAUGUCUCCAAUCUCAUAAAACCCUCACCCUCCCUAUUCAUCUUCAUUUCUUUAAUCUUCAUGCUUCAACAGAGUUUCUGCUGCUGCCUUCAUCGUCAUGCUUCAAUGGUGUAAGUUUAAACUAGAUUUCCCCCUUCUUCGGUGCUAGAUUUAUUGGGUUAUGAUGGAUUGCCUUGGUUGAGUAAUUAAUGCUCGUUUUAUUUUUAUUUUUUGUCUCGAUGAUUUCUAUUUCUGUAAGUAAUGAACAUGGUUGUAUUGUUUUUAGGAAUCUUUUAACCAUUUCAUUUUGUUGGUU
Molecule: long non-coding RNA, 781 nt
Organism: Diospyros lotus (date-plum)
Lineage: Eukaryota; Viridiplantae; Streptophyta; Magnoliopsida; Ericales; Ebenaceae
Exons: 2
Source: RefSeq, a predicted model, not a curated record